RNAcentral lists this long non-coding RNA (6273 nucleotides) under Sus scrofa (pig). RNAcentral describes it as "lncRNA (ENSSSCG00070010171.1)". Lineage: Eukaryota; Metazoa; Chordata; Mammalia; Artiodactyla; Suidae. The record is from RNAcentral.
GCGCCUUUUCGCCCUCACCGGUUUCCUCCUGCUCUGCUCUGAGACCCCCACGCCGGGUGGGAAGGUGGCUGAACUAGGCCGGGAGUCCAACGCCGGGGUGGAGCGGAAGGGGCAGUGGCGGGGCGAGAGGGGGCGCCAGUCGCGCCUUGCGCAGACCCGGGGGAGCCGGCGCCGCGGAGGGAAGCCCAGGCGCUUGGCGACCGCGGGCGCGCGACGCCUCCUCCCAGCCUUCCUCUCAGUUCCCGGAGCACCCCCGCCAGUCCCAGUGCCCGGCUGCUCGGGACGAGCGGCGUCAUCAGAUUUGGCGCGACCCCGGGCGACCUCAGCCCAAGGCUCGGAGGGAGAGGCGCCUCUCCGAACCUGGCGGGUCGACAGAGAAGAGGAAAGCCGGCGGCGCAGCUCGGGGGCGUCCUGGAGUCACGGACGCCCGCCCCCUUCCUAGUGGGAACUACGCGGCCACGCGCGCUCCGGGGACCGGUUUUGACCCGUCGGUGCCUCCGCGGGCCCAAGGUCAUGGAAGGCACUGGACAUGUCCCAGGGUACAUUAGGAUCCAACAGGAUGUACCCUCACCUCUUCACAGAUGUUAGCCAGGAUUGUCAUUACGGAGGACACAGACCUUGGGAAGGCAAUGAGUUUCCCACCACUUCCCACUGAGUGAUUUGCACUGUCUGAAAGCCAGUCUAAUGGAAAGUGGCUGGAAAAGAGCAGAAGGGUCUGGUUUCGGCAUCCACGGAAUCAGCAACUGGCCAGGAAUCGAACCUUAACCCGCUGCACCACAAGAAAACUCCUGCACAGUCUUAUUAACAGUCCCAAGCCAAGAAGUUCUGGACAUGUAGUGCCGUCUUGAUCCCUCACCCUGUUCUGCACAUGACAUCCUUGAGCAGUAAGAUAAGACUCUGGAGUGGCUGGCUUUGGGGCUCCAAGCUAUAGAGAUGCCUCAAGUUGGCAGGAAGGGAAGGGAAGUCUUUGUGCUGUUGAAUACCAAAGCUGGCCUCUAUUACAGCCCUGGAGGAGUGCUUUUUGGAAUGACAUUGGAGACGGCGAGCAGCAUCCUGAAGACGGUCAGAUGUUGACAGAGAGAACUUCCCAUGGUGUCACUGGUGGCCUGGCACAAGGACUCCUACAAAGCUUCCAGCCUGAUUUUCCGGAUCUGAGAAGCUCGGCCAAAUGCUCUACAUGUCGAGGAGCCUCUUCCAUUCAGACGGAGCCUUCCAAUCAAAGGUGACAUCCCACCCGUCUAAACAACAUUUUUUGGUGCUAGACACACAGACCACAGAUGGAAAUUGUCUUUUAGUGUCUUGGAUGGGAACCCCCAGCAGCUCCCAGGGACUGAUGGAAGACAUGAAAAUUCACACUGCAGUCGGCAAAGCAACACUUUACCUUCUGAACGAUGCUCUUAGGUGGGAGAAAUCACAGGCAAAUUCUGACUUAUGGGAGGAAUGGAACCGAACAGGAAGCACAUGUGCCCUCCCACCUCGCCCCCGGAAGGAAAAGCCUUCUUCCAGCCCCCUUGAAGUCGCUUCCUUUUCAAAGGGGCUGGCAUUCCGGACUCCCAUAGGCAGGGAGGGAGGGAAGCUGGGUUACGACUUGAAUCCUGCCAUUUCUCCACUGGAUUCCUAAGAAAGGCUGGACUGAGAAACACAUUUGGCGCUGAUAAGACAGAAAUGCAAUAGCUCUUCUGAGCCCUUGCAUCUUGCAGGGUAACUUGGACCACGCACCCACGCCGUUUUGGCACCUCUGCUAGUCUGACUCAUUUCCUCUACCCAGAGGAGAAACAGGGACCCCUUGGCCAAAGCCUUUACCUUCACAGCCAGGGGAGUCGGCAUGUCUCCAGAUUCUAAGAUGCUUUGGGGACAAACCCCCAAGCCCCUCCCCAGAUGAAGUUCUUUCCUAAUUCUGGGUACAGUCUGAGUUUUAUAUCAGUGCUUGGGUGAAUUCAGUGCCUUCUACAUAAAAAGAAAUUCAACUAAUUUUAGAAUUUAAAAAAAACCAACAACAAGCAAACAAAUACAACCCUCAAUCAAGAACUCCUGCAUCCUCCUCUGCCCUAUGACUCUGCAGGUCCACAGAGCCCCGGGCAAGAGGCCGAGGUGUUCCACCCAUGACGGAACACAGUCGAUUCCAUUUUAUUCGAUGUUUAUUAGCAGACUUUGCUUGAUGAUAUUUACUCACUUGGCAAAGCAGAUAGAAAAGCCGAGCAGAAUUCAGUAGAAAGAAACUGGACCUACCCAAUCCCGUCCCUCAGUGGGGAGCUGUUCAUCCUCUGAGUCACCCAGCUUCCCAGUUACCCCAUGGUUGCAGCUGUCGCCUCCUGGCCCACAUGGGGCUCUGAACCAGGAACCCUUCCCCAGCUAUGAAUUCAUAUAUUGGGCUUAACGGUGACACAAAAUUGAUCCCACGUGCCUCUUUUAAUGGCCUUUUCUCCUUUCUCAAUGGACACUCUACCCUGUGAACGUUCACACCAGACAUGUGUCAUGCUCUCUCUUCCUUUAUGAACUGGAGAGAAGUCAUUUGGACUUGAGUUGGAACAGAUGACACCCCUUGGGGAUGGGAAAAUCCAACCAGAGAUUGCGGCCUUGGUGGCCAAAUUGUCACUUGAUGGACACACUUGUAAUCAUAGGGCUUUCUAUCCGCCAUGCUUUGGGGAGAAUUAAGCCUUGAAGAUUCAAGUCAGACUUCAGCGUUCAAAUCCCAGCACCACUAUGUUAUGUCCAGGGGGCAAGCUACUUAACUUCUGAAAACCUUAGUUACUUCAUUUUAAAAAUAAUUAUAAAAUCAUCCCUGCUGUGAGGAUUAGAUGAGAUCAAGUCUGUUGAGUUCUUGUCAUCCUGUGUGUGGCCAGCGGUAUGUACAGUUCCACAAAUAGGCGCUGGGCUUAUCAUUUUAUUAUCACUAUAUUUCUUUAAUUGUGACAGGAUGCUGCAGAACUCAGUAGCAUUUCCCAGAUUCAACCAGAUUUUACAAAGGACACUUCUCAGUAAUUCUCAUUAUGAUGUUUAAGGUGGUUUCUCUAAGUUUUUGGGAAGAUCUCUCAGUUUUCCUAACACAAAGGAGAUCCUUUUUACAGGCUGGGUCACACACAGAAUCUGCCGGGGUCUGAGCAGAAAUGAGGGGGUGGCUUGGGCUCUCCACACCCUCCACCUCUGGUGUUUUCUGAGUUCUUCUGACCUGCCGAGGGCUCCCCCAGCUCCCGUGCUGCAAAGUCCUGCUGGACGAUGACACCAUCAUCAGCUACACUAACUUCGCCCAUCGCAAGUUUGCCCAAUAGGUCAGAACUCUGGAUUUCACCGCUGAUGGAUAUUGCCAAGUAGGUGGAGUGCGUGAGCUGAAUUGAUUUUGCCCAAGUUAUGGGGAGGGCAAGGGGCAAGAAUGGAUUCUGGAGAAGAGUAAGCUUCAGGCUAUCAAAAAGAGAUGAGUAAACCGUGGUAUAUAGAAGGGAGAAGCAACAAGGCUCUACUGUAGAGCACAGGGACCUAUAUUCAAUAUCCUGUGAUAAACCAUCAUGGAAAAGAACAUGAAACAGAACGUCCCUGUGUAUAACUGAAUCACUUUGCUCUACGGUAGAAAUGAACACAACAGUAUAAAUCAACUAUAGUUCAAUAAAAUGAAUUUAAGGGAGUUCCCGUUAUUGCUCAGUGGUAAUGAACCCAACUAGUAUCCCAUUGGUCCCACUGGUUCCACUCAGUGGGUUAAGGGUCUGGCAUUGCCAUGAGCUGUGGUGUAGGUCGCAAAUACCGUGACUGUGGCAUAGGCCAACAACUACAGCUUUGAUUUAACCCCUAGCCUGGAAAUUGCCAUAUGCCUCUGGUGCAGCCCUAAAAAGCAAAAAAAAAAAGAUGAGCAAUCUGUAGGUCUUUAUUGUUCACUAAAGAAGACCUCAGCUAGGACCCCCUCUAAGAAAACAACCAAACAAGAUUAGAGGAAGGCCAGGGGAUGGCUCUUACCCAAGAUAAAUGAGCUGAGAUGUAUUGGCUUUGAAACGUUUGGGUCUUUCUUGGCAAGGGACGUGCUCCCAUCUUCCUAUUGUCUCCUUCCCCUUUCAGCUCUCAUUUAUCAAAAACAGAGACCAUCCCUAGACCUGAUUUGAAUCUGAUUUACCAGGAUGCUCCCCUAAAACAUUUUGCCCCUUUCCAAUUUUUUUCCCUUCUCUUUAAUUUUUUUAAACCACAGGUAUGUAAUAGAAUUUUUAUUCCUGAAAGUGAUGGAUUUAUUUGUGCUAACAUCAACAAAAUGUCCCAACAUGAAUUUGACUUUGUGUUUGGAGUGAUUAAAAAGUACAUAUUUCUUAUCCUCAAAAACAGGAAAUCAUGUUUCUCCUUGAGAAAUGGAAAUCACCCCUAAAAGAGUUGGGCUCUGUUUGAAAUUCCCAGAAUAUGAUUUUGAGGAUCAUCUGCAAGAGUCUGUUCUUUUUUUCUUUCUUUCUUUCUUUUUUUUUUACCAGAACAUUCCCACAGUAAACACAUUAAAAGCAGAAAUACCCAAUAAAUAGGACCAAAAAACCUGCCAAUUUGACUCACAUUCAAAAUGUUUCACUGUAUCCAGAAAACAUCUGGACCAAAGGGUUUUUUUUCCCCCUAAGUGGAAAAAAAACAAAAACAAAAACAAGAAAACUCAUUCGUUUAUGUCUUUACGUCUUAAACAAAAUGAAUUAAUAGCUUUUAAACCCUUUGCACUAAAAAAGGAAAGUGCUUCCAGCUUGACAACUUAAAUGAUAAGUUGCAGCCCAAUGUGUUUUGAAAUAGCCCAAACAUAAAUCCAUCUUCAGUGGGGAGUUUUAAUGGGAAGCCACAGUGACCCCUCACUCCAGUGGUGCUGCCACACAGCUUGCGAUAAUGAUGAUGGACAAAUUGUCAUGGCUGGAGGUGGCCCUUCUGUGUCUCCCCUUGUGGUCGAGCCACACGGAGCAUCAGGAAACAGACACAUGUUCCCAGGGGCAGGAAGAUGACAAAAGUCCAGGGGAUCUGCUGCAGGCGGGCCCCCUCAGCAACUUCCCAGCAAUGGGAAAAGGAAAGGGCAAAACUCAUCUGAACAGCAGGAAGCCGCAAACACCCCAGAACUGCAACCAAAGAAGGAGGAAGGAAAGAAAAGGAAGGCUUUUCUCCUGGAGAAUUCUCUCCUUUUGCAGCCUGCUUGGGAAUUAAGUUAUAGACCCUUCUUGAGAUUCUAAGAUUGGUGUACAGGGGGUUGCAAAUCUCAUCCAGAGCUCUGAUGAUUUUUUUUUCGGAAGAAAAGCAAACCAGAAAACGACGAGUUUUGAGUUUAAAGUGUGCUGUCGAGCAGAGAUUGCAAGAUUGAGACCAUUCCAGGAAAGGAAGUUUUAAGGCCAAAAUUAAAAUAGCACAUUUGUUCCUUGCAAUUUGACUUCAGAAUCCCCCAAGGCUCCUUCUUGGGAAGCUUUACUUUUCAUUUGAGGGAUGUUGUGCACCAUAUGGAAAUUUUUUUUUUUUUUGGUUUACAUAGUGCAUUUGCCAAGAAUGUCUUAUGAGACAUAGCACCUCGUUUUCCAUGGGGGUCCCAAGAGAGAACAGGUAUCGUCAAAGCUCUCUCUAUUUGCUUGGUAAAUGUAAACAUGCAGACUAAAACAAUACUAUUUAGCAAAUAAAAUGAUACACAUAACUUUGAAGCCAUGUGAACUGUAAUUACAGCAAUCUCAAUAAUUAUUAUCACUUAAUAUUCAAAGAGCACCAACCUUGAUUUAGAAGCAAAACUAAAAUUGGAAUUCAGCCUUAGCAUUAGCCUAUUAAGACUCAGAGCCUCAACAGAAGGCGUCGAGGUGUUUGAACCGUUUGACUUAAUUUACAGGGGCAUUGAAUCAACGUGUCCGUUCUCGCUGAACUUACAGAUUGACGGACUUAACUGAUUGGGCAAGUUGACUUGCCGCAUUGUCACUUUGUAAACAUGGCCACUGGACAGAUAUGGAAGUGGGGAGAUAGCUGGGGGAAGAUGGACAUGAAAAAGGAGAAUGUCUAUAAAAGUGUUGAGUGUUCAAAAGUACCUACAUCAACAAUGAAGAAAUCCAGCAAACACCAGGCGUAUGUUCUAUAACCAUAUGCUACUCCUUUUAGAAGUGUUUCCAGAAUAAAGACGUAAAUGAAUAUCUUGUCAGCCUACUCCAGGAUAAUCUUCAUGGUCAUAUCUAUAUAUAUAUCUUUAUCUAUUUAUCUGUAUCUAUAGAUCUUAUACAGAUAUUUAUAUAUAUGUAUGUCAUUUAUACGUAUAUAUGGAUUCGAAACCCUGUGAAAGUAAUAUUCAAAUAUCAAUUUAUGUCCAAC